GAUGAACGCUAGCUACAGGCUUAACACAUGCAAGUCGCGGGGCAGCAUGGGGGUUGCUUGCAAUCCCCGAUGGCGACCGGCGCACGGGUGAGUAACGCGUAUCCAACCUGCCCUUCACCACGGGAUAACCCGGCGAAAGUCGGACUAAUACCGUAUGUUGUCCAUUGACAGCAUCCGAUUUGGACGAAAGGUUUGGCGGUGAAGGAUGGGGAUGCGUCCGAUUAGCUGGACGGCGGGGUGACGGCCCACCGUGGCGACGAUCGGUAGGGGUUCUGAGAGGAAGGUCCCCCACACUGGAACUGAGACACGGUCCAGACUCCUACGGGAGGCAGCAGUGAGGAAUAUUGGUCAAUGGGCGUAAGCCUGAACCAGCCAAGUAGCGUGCAGGAUGACGGCCCUAUGGGUUGUAAACUGCUUUUAUGCGGGGAUAAAGUGGCCCACGUGUGGGUUUUUGCAGGUACCGCAUGAAUAAGGACCGGCUAAUUCCGUG
This 490-nucleotide ribosomal RNA is filed under the name uncultured bacterium. Its description in RNAcentral is "partial 16S ribosomal RNA". It matches the Rfam family "Bacterial small subunit ribosomal RNA", at positions 28 to 507 of the family's 1533-position model. The record is from RNAcentral.